Chiroxiphia lanceolata (lance-tailed manakin) is the source of this 554-nucleotide long non-coding RNA. RefSeq lists it as uncharacterized. The record is from RefSeq and is a predicted model, not a curated record. The transcript is spliced from 5 exons. Lineage: Eukaryota; Metazoa; Chordata; Aves; Passeriformes; Pipridae.
CCUUCACCUGGCUGUCCUCUCUAAAAACACAGCUGUAGCAGGGCUGUUACUGGAGCAUCAUGCCAAGAGUGAUGCUCAGAACCAGUGGGGAUUUACCCCCUUCCAACUUGCAGCCUUGCAACAGCAUGAGGAGAUUCUGGAGUGCCUUGUGAACAAAGCAGCUGACAGGCCUGCUCAAGGCCAGGGGGAAAGGACUGUUCUUGUGGUUCCUGGAAGCCAUGAGGCUCACCUGGAGGAAGAUAAUCUGCGCUUGCAGGAGGAGCUGGACAGGGCUGACACGGAGCUGCAGGAGGAGGAAGAAAAGCAUCUUCAGUCUGAGGAUUGUGUUCCUGACUUGAAGACUGCCUUGGAUGACAACAAAGGAGAAGCAAUAACUUCUUCCCAGAAACUUCAGGACCUCCUGUUGGCAUCUUGUGAGACCAAUCCGACUGUAAACCAACUGGAAGAAGAUGCACAAGACUUUGCAAGUGAGAACAGCAGAUUGGAAGCCACUGUCCAGCAGCCAAGCGACGGCGUUGAAGCCCUUCCAAGAGCCCUGCAAGCCUCUGCCUCAG